This is a small nucleolar RNA of Fukomys damarensis (Damara mole-rat), 145 nucleotides long. The record is from Ensembl. NCBI's taxonomy places the organism in Eukaryota, Metazoa, Chordata, Mammalia, Rodentia, Bathyergidae.
UGAUGACUGUUCCUCCUAUUGCUUUGAGACCUGGCACUAGGAUUUUAGGUCAUCAUAAAUUGAAAUUUGAUUUUUUUCACUCAGAGAAUAUUAAGAUAAUGGGAUUGUCUUGUCUAUUCUCUGAAAUUUGCGGAAUCAGACAAUU